CUUGGUUUGUCCUUGUCAAUGUUCAUGCUCCUCUUCCCUGUUUGAUCCUGGUUUGUGUCGAGGUAUGCAGCUCACGAGGGAUUAUUGUGGCUCCCUCCUGUUCUUCUUACUGUUUAGGUGGAGUGAAGUGAACUGAAAGUCAACUGCUCAAAUUCGACAGCAGGAAAAAAAACCAAAACAAAAUAAAUAGGAGACUCCAGACAGCCAGAAACAGGAGCUGCCAACAUAUUACACCGGGCUGAGUGUUACUACUAUCCCUACUAACCAAACAUCGACUGCAGCACAUAUUCAAAUCAGCUGGCUCGCUCACUUUCUUUGCAUUUUUUAUGGUUCAAUCCCCCUCCAUCGCAUAAACACAAUAAAAAGUUACACUCUUAUAUACACAUCAUCAUCACUUGGCCUCAUCUAAAGUAGGAGUUUGCCGCGAGUAAACAAUGGAGGCUGUGACAAUAAUGUCUGCUGCUAACAACAGCGAGAUCUGCAUCACAACAAAGACUAAGUAAAUGUUUUGGCACAUUAACUGCUGAUAUGAGGCUCUCAUAAGGACGGGUGUCAUCGCUUGCUUUUUGUUGCCUCGUCAGUGCUACAGGGAAAAGAUAUUACCGUUGCAACGGAAGAGAUCCCAAGUAAUCAGUCAACAUAUUAUGACAUGUCACUGCAAGCUCACACAUCAUUGUUUUCAUUAGUUUUACUUACUUAAUGCCAUCGUCAUUGUCCAGACAGAUGGUGAAGCAGUCAGUUGCAGUGGCAGCCAUUAUAAAAGUU
Molecule: long non-coding RNA, 765 nt
Organism: Acanthopagrus latus (yellowfin seabream)
Lineage: Eukaryota; Metazoa; Chordata; Actinopteri; Spariformes; Sparidae
Exons: 4
Source: RefSeq, a predicted model, not a curated record